This is an RNA transcript of Synchiropus splendidus (mandarinfish), 8519 nucleotides long. It is a transcript of the gene named phospholipid phosphatase-related protein type 3-like, with no coding region annotated. NCBI's taxonomy places the organism in Eukaryota, Metazoa, Chordata, Actinopteri, Syngnathiformes, Callionymidae. The record is from RefSeq and is a predicted model, not a curated record. The transcript is spliced from 10 exons.
CUCCUCCCCCGUCUCCUCUCCUCCACACCCCCACCGCGCGUCCUCCUCAUGUCUUUGUGUGCGCGCGAGUCGGCGUGUGUGUGAGACGGCGAACCCCAAAAAGGCGAGAUGCGUGAAGCUGCGACUGGUCUGGCUUUGGGAUUGUUUUAAGAGGAAGGGAGAACCGGGCGGACCCACGUGAAUCUCCCGCGAACUCGAGGAGCGAGUGGACUUUACGGCACCAUCCUCUUCAUCCCUCCUCCUCCUCAGCACCAACCUUCUCCCCGAUUCCUCCACUCUGGAAUACCCCAGCAAAGCCCCCGUUUUUCAGCCGCCACACUGAACCGUUUUGGCUGGAUUGAGAGCCUCGGUAUGGAUUAGCGGAGCCGCCAAACUGGAGCAGCAAGCACGGCCGCGGCGGGGGGGAAGGGGGCGCCGGGACUCGGUGAAUUCACGGAGCCCCCGGGACAGAGGAUGUGACUGGUCUCAAUCCAAGAUGGCGUCACCGAAAAGCAAAGCCAAGAAGAAGCCUCCUAAAGACAGCAUCACACUGCUGCCAUGCUUUUACUUUGUAGAGCUUCCCAUUGUCCUGUCCUCCUUGGUGUCUCUGUACUUUCUGGAACUGACGGAUGUGUUGUCCCCGGCGAUGGUGGGCUUCCGCUGUCACGACCGGGACCUUUCCAUGCCGUACGUGGAGACAGGAGACGAGCUCAUCCCUCUGUUGAUGCUGCUGAGCCUGGCCUUUGCUGGACCUGCAGCUUCUAUCAUGAUGGGCGAGGGCUUGAUGUACUGCAUGCAGUCCAAGAUGAAGACGUGUCCCAAGUCGGAGACCAGCAUCAACGCUGGAGGCUGCAGCUUCAACUCCUUCCUGCGGAGAACCGUGCGCUUCGUGGGUGUUCAUGUGUUCGGUCUCCUAGCAACGGCCUUGGUGACAGAUGUCAUCCAGCUGGCCACGGGCUACCACACCCCCUUCUUCCUCACCGUGUGCCAGCCCAAUUACACAGCGCCGGGCGUGUCAUGUGACAACAACGCCUACAUCACACAGGACAUCUGCAUGGGCAAGGACCUGUAUGCUAUUCUGUCUGCCAGGAAAACCUUUCCAUCACAGCAUGCAACACUCUCUGGAUUCGCUGCAGUCUAUAUUUCUAUGUAUUUCAACACGUGCAUCAGCAACAGCACCAAGCUGCUCAAGCCGCUCCUGGUGUUCGCCUUCUGCAUGGCAGCGGGCCUGGCCGGGUUGACCCAGAUUACCCAGCACCGCAGUCACCCCAUAGAUGUGUACGUGGGCUACCUGAUCGGAGCCGGCAUCGGAGUCUACCUGGCUGUGUAUGCUGUGGGGAACUUCAAAUCUUCCGAAGAGGACGCUCCUCCUCUUUCCAGACUGGCGUUUGCCCACCAGAAGGACACCCUCCGGGUCUUAAGUCAGAGGGGUCAUGACUCUCUGUACAGGAAACCCCCGCGAGUGUCUGAGAGCCGGGAGGAGCUGGGGGCCCCCAUGGGCUCCGGCGCGCGCAGCAAGGUGCGCAGGGAGAAGGCUUCGCUUGCUUCUCUAAAGCGAGCCAGUGCUGACGUGGAGCUUCUGGCAACCAGGGGCCCAAUGGGGAAAGAAACCAUGGUUACCUUCAGCAACACUUUGCCCAGAGUGGCGAAUGGCAACAGUCCCAUUUCUCCAUCGGAUGAGCCAAUCAGCACACAGCGGCACAUGACUUUCCACGUGCCAUAUGACUCGCAGAGGUCGCGGCAGCUGGUGACAGAGUGGAAGCAGUGCUCGAUGGAGCUGCGUAGUCAGAGCUCCAGAGACGAGGAGGAGGAGAGGACUGAUGGCAGAGGCGAGGGAGGUGCCGCCGGGGAGGACCAGGCGAUGCCGUCCUCCCUUUACCCCACAGUGCAAGCCAACAAGGGCAGUGCCACACCCACCACCACCAGGAUGGCAAUGGCACCGCCGUUGGUUCACAUUCCAGAGGAGGCCACUCGGCCGCCGCCGGUGUCUCCAAAGAGCGCCAAAACCCGUGCCAAGUGGCUGGCACUCACCGAGGGGGGUGGGACCAAAGAGCCAGGGACAGGGCCCAUUGCUGUGUCAACUCCCCGGGUUCCCAACACACAACCAAGCCAGCCCCCGGCCCAGCAGAGGGCCACACAGGUGAUGGCCAUGUCCAAGCAGCAGAGCCUCAUCUCCUCCACUGCCAAGACCUCGGAGGGCGGCUCGUCUUCCGGCGCCGGCUCCAACUGCUCCGAGUCUCCGUACUACAAGAUCCCAUCUGACCGCGACAGCUGCACUGGCAGCAAUCCUGGCAGCAUCGGCGGCAGCGGCAGCAUCGUCACCAUUGACGCCCACGCCCCCCACCACCCGGUGGUGCGCGUGUCGGCCACCAAUGGCAAACCAUGGGAGUGGAGGAACACCAUCAGUGGACACCUGAUGAGCGCCGAGGCUGACAAGCAGAGGUCCGCGCUAACGCGGCAGGAAAAUGUGGCCCACUACAGGGACUACCGCACCCUCCCGCUCAAGUCCGACUCCAUGUCCACCUCCUCUGCUGGAGGGGAUGGAGGGUCAGCGCUACCACCUCCUCCUCUCUCCACCUCCUCUUCCCCCCUCCCUCCCCCACCUCCCCUAUCGUCCUCCCCACUUCCCCUUCACUCGUCUUCAUCCCCACUGCCACCACCACCUCUCCCAAGCUCCUCACCGAUACCUCCCCCUCACUCUUCCUCCUCCCUCAUGCCUCCACCUCCUCCUCACUCCUCUUCCUCCCACAUGCCUCCACCUCCUCCUCACCCAGCUUCCUCCCACAUGCCUCCACCUCCUCCUCACUCCUCUUCCUCCCACAUGCCUCCACCUCCUCCUCACUCCUCUUCCUCCCACAUGCCUCCACCUCCUCCUCACUCCUCCUCCACCCACAUGCCUCCACCUCCGUCUCACUCGUCCUCAACUCAUUUGCCUCCUCCCCCUCACUCCUCUUCCUCCCACAUGCCUCCUCCUUCUCAAUCGUCCUCCUCCCAGUUACCACCUCCUCCACCCUGUUCCUCCUCCACCCACAUGCCUCCUCCUCCUCCUCAUUCUUCUUCCUCACAUAUGCCUCUUCCUCCUCACUCCACUUCCCCCCACAUGCCACCUCUGCCUCCCCCUCACCCUUCAUCUUCCCACAUGCUUCCUCCUCCUCCUCCUCACUCUUCCUCCUCCCACAUGCCUCCCCCUCCUCACUCCUCCAUGUCCCACAUGCCUCCCCCUCCUCAUUCUGUCUCUCACAUGAACUCACAGUCCUCUCAAAUGCUGCCACAUCCACACCCUUCCUCGCAGAUGCCCCCACCUCCUCACCCCUCUCAAAUUCCUCCACCAUCACAACCAUCCUGUGGCACAAUGCUCCCACCGCUUCACCCGUCCUCAUCCUCCUCCUUGCUGCCACCCCCUCCCAGCUCCUCCACUAUGUCCCCGUACCCCUCUUGCUCCACCAUGCUCCCUCCUUCUCGGCACCCUGACUUACUGAUGGACGGUCAGAUGCUGUCCCGCUCGUCCACACUGCCCCGCCGCCCGUCCGGCUCUGCCCGCAGCCAUGCGGAGCAGGAGCACUACUACAAGGCUCUCCAGAAUGAGAGAAUGUUGUAGUACAAGAAUACCAUCGUCAUGAUUGUACCUCAGAAGCAAGCUAUAAGACUACGCAGCUGGACUUUGCUGAGGUCUGGAAUCCUUUUUUAUAUUUUUUCUCCCACGUGUAAACUCAAAGAGCUUGAAAGCAACUGAACAUUUUCGGGUUUUUCUAAAUCCCUUCUUCACUUCCUCCAUUUGUUUUUGAGCAGGAUAGGCGUAACACCAACAGCUGAGGGAGAGAUAUCAAACAAACCCUCCGGAAUUGAUGCGCUCUUCCUUGAGUGGAAGCGAUAAACAAAAGGACUAAUGGAAAAAUAAAUGCUUAUUAAACUAGUGCAGCUGGCUGAGCUCGCAAACACACUUCCUCUGGUGACUAAGCAGUGAAGCUGCGGGACGAUCGUUCAGCGAAAGGAGCGCAAGAGCCUUAAAUCCAUCGGCAUAAAAGAGUUGAAUUAAGGAGCACAUGAUUGCCGCCGAGCGAAUCAGUCACCGGGGACGACAUUGCACUGUAAAAAUGGAGCGGGGAGGAGCUGCUUUAAGAGCAGUCGUGCACAGUUUGCUGCUGAAUGGAUUAGCGUUGUAAACAUGAGAGAGACUUGUUCCCAGGUGGUGGGUUAGAGCCACACGAUGAUCCUGGGCGCUCUUCAUCUGAACAUCUCAACAAAUCUUUGUCCAAAGAAUAGAAAAUAACCCUGGCUAAGGAAUCAAAGUCGAGCUGAAAAGAAAAUCUGUUGGUUUUUGUACACAGAGGGAAUGAGGAAGUAAAGUACGACAGGCUGUGAAGGAUGAAGGUAAAUGUCAGAUGUUCAUCCAUGUUCAAUGAGACCAGAAUCUGAGUCUCAAUUACAAGUUAAACAUUUUCAUUUCUCUCAUGAAGUGUGAACCUCUCUGUCGUUGCUAUUUGGAACCAAAGUGUCCGCUUUCUGUGACAGGAUAUCAACGCCAGUCUUUCCACGGUGCGUUGGAGACAGACUGAUCUAAUUUGUGGCACUUCUCAUCCAGACUGACAGGAGAUAUAUUUAACUCAUUUCAUGAUUGUGAUGAAAAUCCAGCUCAGCAGAAGAUUUUCCAUGGAACCCAUUCGUUCCAUUAAUUCUUAGAGAGGUGGCGAGAAGCAUGGCCUUCAUCUGAUAAGUCUACAGCAGAAGAAAGGCUGCUGUUCGAAGUAAGUCAUUCCCUUUCAGGUUAUCUAUGGAGCUCCUUUCAUUCAACGAUACAAAGAGGAACAGAUAUGAGGUCGUUCUUCAUUCUGCUCGACUUCAGUCAAAAAUAUAUCGGUUUCAUCUUCAUUUAAAACACUUCUUAAAGUAUCUCACAUUUGAAUUUUAUCAAAUUUGCCUUCCUAGUAAAUACAAGAAUGUAAAAAUGUACAUUUAUUUAUAUGUUAUUUUAUUAUUUAUAUCCACUGCACACUUCCCCCUCUAGUGAUCAUCAUCUCACGUCCACAACAUAGAGACUCACAAAUCCAGGUUAGUCAUACUGAAAACAAAUCGUCUAAUUUAGUUUUUGAAACUGAAAAUAAGGCCAGUUUCAGCCAGUCUUUGGGGGAAACUGUGGUAUAUUCUCAACUAUGAUGAAAUAAUUUGUUCUGUUGCAGAUGUUUUGGCUUAAAAUGUAUGAUAGAAAUACUGACCAUGGAUUCCACUGAACUACAGAGUUUAUAAGCAAUAGAUAUAGCUGAGAAAAAUAUUGCUGCAGCUCAUUCUUCUCUCUCAUCCGUCUGAAGUGCUUUAUUUUCUAUUCGAAGGAAGCCACACGUGUGAAUAGCCGUGACCAUGUUUUGUAAAAGAAACCAUAAGGGAAACUGUCAAACUGUUCCGUAGCGAGCCUCCACUUGUAGUUCAGUGUUCAGUGCUGCAUGUAUGAGCGUGAUAGUUGGGACUGAGUGUAACAGCUUCUUCUUACCGAUGUUAUCAAUACUGUCGUCAUUUUCUAGUCCUUUUUUUAACGGGCUCAUGUUUUUAUAACUGUGGUGAUGUGUCAUAUUAUUAAUCUCAUUGAAUAAAUAAGGUGGACGUACGUCGUCUUUGGAAUGAAAAGGAUCUUUUCCUGUGGAUUUAUAUAUUUAUUUACACAUACCUUUGUAUUUCUAACCUUGUGGGGACAUUGUGAGGUCUUUCAUUUCAUUCACACACACACACACACACUCUAUAGAUUUCCCUUUAGUCCAGUGUCGGGUUGCCAUAAUGAAUAGUGUGAGAAUGUUGGUCCGAUGACUGCAGGGACGGAGCCAGCGUUGGCCUGAAUCUGUGUGUUUGUUGUAUGUUUUUUCUAAAAUAUGUCCAUGCUACGUGUCUGUUUCUUUGUUAUCCCGUGGCCGUGUCACAUUAACACUGACGCUGCUCUGUGUGUCAGUAACUGUCCAUUCAGCAAUGUGUCACAUUUUGGCUCAAGAGGAUUGUCACAAACGUAUUUUCCAAUCCAGACAUGUUUCACUGCUCAAAUCUGUGUGUCCCUGUGCUGUGUGUGUGUGUGUACCCCAGUGCCCGUGUGUGUGUCUUAAGCGUUGAACUGUAUGAUGAGGACGGAGAUAGUUGCAGAUGGUGCACCAAGGCCUGGGGACAGUUGGCCUGUCCAUGAGUUACAUUCGAUGAACUCACACCCCUCCUCCCCGUGCGUGUGUGUGUGUGUGAGUGAGUGUGUGUGUGUGUGUGCAUACAUGCAUGUGCCUGCAUCCCCUCCCCCCGUGGCCCAGAAAACAACAAAAAACAUGCAGAUCAAGAUACCUGUACUUGUUCAAUGUGGAGUCUGUAGGUUCCUCAGUCACACAGGAUCAAAUACAGAGGUUGGACAAAAUAAUGCAAACACCUUAAAGCUUUUUUAGCUUUUUUUUUGUCCAACCCCUGUAUCUACAGUAAAACAGAUAAAUAAAAUGGGUGAAGACAGAAAAUUCAGGUCAUAAAAAAGUGCAUCUGUCAGUCGGAAAUGUGAUGGAAUACGCCACGAUAUCGGACCCUCAACAUCUCACUCUGAAGUCUGCCUCCCACAGAUGGGGAGCUGGUGUCCUCCUGCUGUCAGUUGCUACCAAUACUCCUGACCUGCUCAUGAACUGAAGGCACUUGGGACCUCAGUCACCAAGAAAACAGGGGUCUGCAAGGUCCCCUCGCUCAGGCAAAGGUCAGAUGAAACCAGAGGUGAGCCUCCCACGCUGUAAGCAGUCUAAAGAACACCCAUCAGCCAUUGCAGAGUGGUGUUUUGGUGCUGCCUUUCAAAGCACUAGGUACCUCUUUUUCACAGGGUACUUCACUGCAUUAAGGGGCCAAUGAAUGGAGUCAUGUAAUGAAAACCUCUUCCUCAGAUGGAGAUGGACCUUCCAGCAUGGCAGUAACCCAAAACCAUCUGAGAGCGGAACAAAGGAGUGGCUUAACAAGACACAUAUUCUGGUCAUGGAGUCGCCCAAUCGACCUCCAAACAUCAACCCAAAUGGGGUGUGGGGAGCUGUUGCUUCCAGUUUCCAGGCUGCCAAGAGACUUGUGGGGGAUUGAGACGUUCCGUAAAGAGAACAGAAGCGUAAUCCCCCCGUGAGCUGUGUGCAAACCCGGUGACCGACGACAACAAAUGUCUUACCGCUGGUGCAAGCCAAAAAGGUUUUUUUUUCUUGGCUCUGGAAAUGUAAUUUUUGAUGGCGCCAGCGCCAUUUUACAGCUCUAUUCAUUUCCAAAGACAUUUUCUGCUGCCAUUCUUUGUCAGUGUGUAAAUGUAUCAGCCACUGAAUAAUCGUUUCCCAUCGAGGGUCGAGCAUCUCUCAUCUUGAUUUUCACCGGUCCCCAGAGAGCCACAAGGAUCGUUUUACAUUCUCUAUAAUCAAUAUAAAAAGUCAAUUUUCUCCAGUCCAAUACUGAUCCCAGUGAAACUUCAGUUUCAUGGGCCUCUACCUCAAACUCGCAUCUACUUUAUACCUUUCAUAUAUUUUUGUGUUUGCUUGUCACGCUCCUCGGCAGUGUUGCAUUCUUGGGUGAAGUUUUGAACAUGGCGUUCACUUUUUCCAAGGCCUGAAGUGUCUUUGAAGCUGACACCUGAGGAAAACAUGGCGUCGCUGGCGGUGAAAAGCGCUCCGUGGCGGCAGAGCCGAGCGGCAUCCAAAGAGCCAGAACACGCCAGUCACCCAGCCACUGCUGGGGGCAGAAGCUGACAUUUCUGGUCGCCACUCGCUGUUCACAGGCUGAGGAGAGAAGCAGUCCCUGGGUGAGCCCGACUGUCAAACUACCUGCCACUUCUCCCUCUGACUUUUACUGCAUAUCGACUUUGUGGAUUUAUUUUCCCUCUGAUGCUUCUUCCGCUAUGAAAUAUUCCUGCUUACUAUCUCACUCUCCGUCACGUCUGCCUGGUCGGGGGAAAUGUGCAGCCGGGUCGGGAAGCUUCCCGGCCCGACUUGCCUUGAUUUAAAGCAUCUGCAUGUUGGAAUCGAGAGGCUCAGUCUGAUACAUGUGAAAAGCACUCAGAGAGUCCAGGCCCUCGGCAUCAGCUCUCAACCAACCUUAUUGAGAGGCUGUUGGUCUCCAAUGAUAUCUCAGCAGCAGCAUGUUGGGAAGUGGUGUCAGAACAACCUGAGUUGCCAACUCUUCUUUCACAACCCUGAAAGGAUCUUUAUGAAGGUCCAAUCUAGUGAUCCAUGGAGGGGUACUGUCCCCACGGGCAAUGUGGUCUUUAGCAAGGCCCAGACUCAUGGAAGUUAGACCAAGGUCAGGGGAUCAGAUGAGCGGAAGAGGUGGAGCCGCAGCCUGUCAAUACCUGGACAGUCUGAGGCAGGCAGGAAACAAAAUGGGUGGCCUGGUUCUGGCCCGGUGGCUGGUUCGAACAGCUGCAGUAGGAGGAACACAGGUGAGAUGCUGAGAGAUUGACGCUCUCAUGGGAGGAGCAGGUGUGAAACUGUGACAUAUCUCGGCCUCCGCAUGUUGCAGUACACAUAUUCAACCACUUGGUGGGACACGUUACAAUCCUGCCUGUUGAAAAUGUUCCA